Molecule: ribosomal RNA, 497 nt
Filed under: uncultured bacterium
Lineage: Bacteria
Description: partial 16S ribosomal RNA
Rfam family: Bacterial small subunit ribosomal RNA
Source: RNAcentral
GAUGAACGCUGGCGGCGUGCCUAAUACAUGCAAGUCGAGCGAACAGACGAGGAGCUUGCUCCUCUGACGUUAGCGGCGGACGGGUGAGUAACACGUGGAUAACCUACCUAUAAGACUGGGAUAACUUCGGGAAACCGGAGCUAAUACCGGAUAAUAUAUUGAACCGCAUGGUUCAAUAGUGAAAGACGGUUUUGCUGUCACUUAUAGAUGGAUCCGCGCCGCAUUAGCUAGUUGGUAAGGUAACGGCUUACCAAGGCAACGAUGCGUAGCCGACCUGAGAGGGUGAUCGGCCACACUGGAACUGAGACACGGUCCAGACUCCGACGGGAGGCAGCAGUAGGGAAUCUUCCGCAAUGGGCGAAAGCGUGACGGAGCAACGCCGCGUGAGUGAUGAAGGUCUUCGGAUCGUAAAACUCUGUUAUUAGGGAAGAACAAAUGUGUAAGUAACUGUGCACGUCUUGACGGUACCUAAUCAGAAAGCCACGGCUAACUACGUG